RNAcentral lists this ribosomal RNA (460 nucleotides) under uncultured bacterium. RNAcentral describes it as "partial 16S ribosomal RNA". It matches the Rfam family "Bacterial small subunit ribosomal RNA", at positions 338 to 795 of the family's 1533-position model. The record is from RNAcentral.
CCUACGGGAGACAGCAGUGAGGAAUAUUGGUCAAUGGACGCAAGUCUGAACCAGCCAUGCCGCGUGCAGGAUGACGGCUCUAUGAGUUGUAAACUGCUUUUGUACGAGGGUAAACCCCGAUACGUAUAUCGGGUUGAAAGUAUCGUACGAAUAAGGAUCGGCUAACUACGUGCCAGCAGCCGCGGUAAUACGGAGGAUCCGAGCGUUAUCCGGAUUUAUUGGGUUUAAAGGGUGGGUAGGCGGUUUGAUAAGUUAGAGGUGAAAUGUCGGGGCUCAACCCCGGAACUGCAUUUAAUACUGUUAGUCUAGAGAAUAGUUGAGGUAGGCGGAAUGUAUGGUGUAGCGGUGAAAUGCGUAGAGAUCAUACGGAACACCGGUGGCGAAGGCGGCUUACCAAACUAUAUCUGACGUUGAGGCACGAAAGCGUGGGUAGCAAACAGGAUUAGAUACCCGUGUAGUC